Molecule: small nuclear RNA, 164 nt
Filed under: Echinops telfairi (small Madagascar hedgehog)
Lineage: Eukaryota; Metazoa; Chordata; Mammalia; Afrosoricida; Tenrecidae
Description: U1 spliceosomal RNA (ENSETEG00000021303.1)
Rfam family: U1 spliceosomal RNA
About the family: U1 is a small nuclear RNA (snRNA) component of the spliceosome (involved in pre-mRNA splicing). Its 5' end forms complementary base pairs with the 5' splice junction, thus defining the 5' donor site of an intron.
Source: RNAcentral
AUACUUGCCUGGCAGGGCAGACCCCAUGAUCACGAAGGUGGCCUUCCCAGGGCAAGGCUCACCCAUUGCGCUGCGGGUGUGCUGACCCCUGCGGUUUCCCCAAAUGUGGGAAACUUGACUGCUUAAUUUGUGGUCGUGGGGGACUGCGUUCGCGCUUUCCCCUG